Molecule: transfer RNA, 77 nt
Filed under: Chloroflexota bacterium
Lineage: Bacteria; Bacillati; Chloroflexota
Description: Chloroflexi bacterium tRNA-Lys
Rfam family: tRNA
About the family: Transfer RNA (tRNA) molecules are approximately 80 nucleotides in length. Their secondary structure includes four short double-helical elements and three loops (D, anti-codon, and T loops).
Source: RNAcentral
GGACCGCUAGCUCAAUUUGGCAGAGCAACUGACUCUUAAUCAGUGUGUUCCGGGUUCGAGUCCCGGGCGGUUCACCA